This 67-nucleotide transfer RNA is filed under the name Phormosoma bursarium. RNAcentral's name for it is "tRNA-Arg". It matches the Rfam family "tRNA". From Rfam's summary of the family: Transfer RNA (tRNA) molecules are approximately 80 nucleotides in length. The record is from RNAcentral. Lineage: Eukaryota; Metazoa; Echinodermata; Echinoidea; Echinothurioida; Phormosomatidae.
AAGGGUUAGUCUAACUAAAACACUUGAUUUCGGCUCAAGAAAUUCUGGUUUAACUCCAGAACCCUUA